This 460-nucleotide ribosomal RNA is filed under the name uncultured bacterium. RNAcentral describes it as "partial 16S ribosomal RNA". It matches the Rfam family "Bacterial small subunit ribosomal RNA", at positions 338 to 795 of the family's 1533-position model. The record is from RNAcentral.
CCUACGGGAGGCAGCAGUGAGGAAUAUUGGUCAAUGGACGAGAGUCUGAACCAGCCAAGCCGCGUGAAGGAUGACUGCCCUAUGGGUUGUAAACUUCUUUUAUAAAGGAAUAAAACGAGGCACGUGUGCCUUUUUGCAUUUACUUUAUGAAUAAGGAUCGGCUAACUCCGUGCCAGCCGCCGCGGUAAUACGGAGGAUCCGAGCGUUAUCCGGAUUUAUUGGGUUUAAAGGUAGCGUAGAUGGGUUGUUAAGUCAGUUGUGAAAGUUUGCGGCUCAACCGUAAAAUUGCAAUUGAUACUGGCAGUCUUGAGUACAGUUGAGGUAGGCGGAAUUCGUGGUGUAGCGGUGAAAUGCUUAGAUAUCACGAAGAACCCCGAUUGCGAAGGCAGCUUACUAAACUGUGACUGACGUUGAUGCUCGAAAGUGUGGGUAUCAAACAGGAUUAGAUACCCUUGUAGUC